Lagenorhynchus albirostris (white-beaked dolphin) is the source of this 1413-nucleotide long non-coding RNA. RefSeq lists it as uncharacterized. The transcript is spliced from 3 exons. The record is from RefSeq and is a predicted model, not a curated record. Lineage: Eukaryota; Metazoa; Chordata; Mammalia; Artiodactyla; Delphinidae.
CCAACACUGGAGCCUACCCAGGCAUUUUGGUGGGGCUAAUGGCGGACUCUGGGAGGGCUCACGCCAAGGAGUACUUCCCAGAACUUCUGCUGCCAGUGUCCUUGUCCUCACAGUGAGCCACAGCCACCCCCUGCCUCUGCGGGAGACCCUCCAACACCAGCAGGACCCAGCGCUGCUCUUCCAUCUCUAUGGCAAUGAGCUGAGCUGAGGGGCUCCCAGCUUCCCUCACCUUACAGCAAUGGAUAAACCUCAUUAAGCCAAGACAAGAGAACUGGGUCAUGCCCUGCUCAUGCCAAGCAGGGGCUUGUGAAUGAAGCAGGCUGUUGAAUUUCAGACAUAAGAAAUAAUCUGCUCCUUGCACCCGCCUGAUCACUUUAUUAGCACAAAAGAUAAAUUUAAACCUCUGACUUAUGACAAAAGGAAGUAAGUCUGCACUAUCCUCCUAAUUAAACCAAGAGAAGCCAGCUAGAUGCAAGGACACCAGGCCCACUCAAUUAAUUAACAUUUAUUACAAUCAGAAAAUAAUCUAAUUCAAUUAAAAUGUCUCCACAAAAGCGGUUUAAUGACUUUCCCCAAAAUAAAGUACAUUCGACUGGAGCAUUUAUUAUGCCAGGGACCAGUAUCAUUCAUGAGGGAGCUGAAAUGACAGCCCUGAUGUGGCUCUGUGGAAAGGGGAGGACAGGGCAGGCGGGGCCGGGGAGGGCUUGGCCGAGCCUCUCGUCAAGAGAGAGGGGAUGCUUCUGGACAGCAACCCUCUAGUGAAGAGGCAGGCCCAGAGCCAGAGGAGCUGCCCACAGCUGCCUUCACCCUCACCCCCACUUCCUGCUUCAGACCCCUUCCCUCCUGCCAGCUCAUCACUGUGCCUGGUACCCCCUUCCCCUUAUAGGAUCAAGCUUGGGUAAGGUAAGGAAUUAAGGGGCAGGCUUGGAUUCAGGAGCCUGAGCCCCUUUCUGCCUGUGUCACCUUGGGCAGGUAGGAGGUGUUUAGAGAAAGGACUGUUAGCAGGGCUUUCUGAAACUUAGCCAGGAGAUAUUUGCAAAGCUGGAGAAACUGCCAUUUGAAAGCUGCAAGCAGUUUUCUGACUCUCACGAGGCAGAGAUUUGAAUUCAUAGUGCCUUUGUUCAGCAAAAAUCCCUUGGUGGGUCCUUAGUUAUAAAAACAGAAAGCAAAUACUUGGAGCUCAUCCUUCGGAGCUAACAAUAUCUGAGCACGUACUAUUGCCAGGCAGAGGGCUAAACACAUUUGUUGGACUACGUCCUUUAAUCCUCACAACAACCCUGCAAGUUAGAACUCUCCAUUGAAACCGAGGCUCAAAGUGUGCCUGAGGACCACGGUUAGUUAGAGGCGAACCCUGGAUCCAAACCCGGGCAGCCAGACUCAGGGCAGAGAGGCCCCCAGCAAGCUCAGAAUAAC